This 461-nucleotide ribosomal RNA is filed under the name uncultured actinomycete. RNAcentral's name for it is "bacterial SSU rRNA". It matches the Rfam family "Bacterial small subunit ribosomal RNA", at positions 253 to 727 of the family's 1533-position model. Lineage: Bacteria; Bacillati; Actinomycetota; Actinomycetes; Actinomycetales. The record is from RNAcentral.
UGAGGUAAUGGCCUACCAAGGCGACGACGGGUAGCCGGCCUGAGAGGGCGACCGGCCACACUGGGACUGAGACACGGCCCAGACUCCUACGGGAGGCAGCAGUGGGGAAUAUUGCGCAAUGGGCGAAAGCCUGACGCAGCGACGCCGCGUGCGGGAUGAAGGCCUUCGGGUUGUAACCGCUUUCAGCAGGGACGAAGCGAAAGUGACGGUACCUGCAGAAGAAGCGCCGGCUAACUACGUGCCAGCAGCCGCGGUAACACGUAGGGCGCAAGCGUUGUCCGGAAUUAUUGGGCGUAAAGAGCUCGUAGGUGGUCCGCCACGUCCGCUGUGAAAAUCCAGGGCUUAACCCUGGACUUGCAGUGGAUACGGGCGAACUAGAGGUAGGUAGGGGAGAAUGGAAUUCCCGGUGUAGCGGUGAAAUGCGCAGAUAUCGGGAGGAACACCGGUGGCGAAGGCGGUUC